UUGGAUCUUUUAUGAGAGGAGCGUGCAGAGGGAGGUGGUUUCACAAUAUUACUGCUGUGACAUGUGCAUGUGACAGUCAAGGCAGCUGAAGCUGAAACGUGGAAAGUCUGCUGUGAGCAGUUACUUUCUGCAAGGAAGCUCCCCAGCACAUUGUUGCAUUUGUGAGAGGGCAAGGGCCUGGGACCAUCAGAUUCUACCUUGCUAUAAAAUUGGAGGAAGAUUCAUAACAGAAGAGGUUCCCAUCAUACUAAGUUGCUGACUUUGCUACAAGUAUGGGGAAAGGUAAAGGAAAAGCAUUAUCCAGAUUUUCUGCUCUGGAGUGAAGCAUUCCAGCUCAUUCAUUCACAAAUCAGAAGUUUGUUCAGGGGAAGUUUCACUAAGUAAGUAGCCCCAAGGAUUUAGAGAUAAGCCUAAAUCCAAGAUAAAUUGUAUGCAUGAAGUAUGGAAGAUGCCAUGACUAUAAAUGUUCUGUGGAGCACAUGUGGAUAAAACUAAACCAACAUCUACAAUUCUGCAUUACAUUCUUUAAAUGUUGAGCAAACUCAGGAUUUUUAUCUCAACAGAUGUGGGGAGGGUAAAGGUUUUAGUUCAAGAAAUGAACAAUAUGGACCUGCUCUGAUUACAGUCUACUGUGUCAAUUCAUAGGAAAAUCAAGACACUUGGGAACCUGCUACAAGCUUACAGAUACUUGACCUCUGUGAAGAGCCUGAUGA
This is a long non-coding RNA of Myiozetetes cayanensis, 713 nucleotides long. RefSeq lists it as uncharacterized. Lineage: Eukaryota; Metazoa; Chordata; Aves; Passeriformes; Tyrannidae. The transcript is spliced from 3 exons. The record is from RefSeq and is a predicted model, not a curated record.